AAAUUAUGCAUUAUUGAAUAUGUUUGUUGAUGGUCAUCUUGUCAUUUUUUCACCUCUUCUUGGCCUUGUACCAGUUGCCAGUACCAAGUUCGUGUGCAGAAUGAUGCUUAGAUGACCAUCAACAAACACUUUCAUCGUUUUGCAUUCU
This 148-nucleotide microRNA precursor is filed under the name Theobroma cacao (cacao). Its description in RNAcentral is "miR827 stem-loop (tcc-MIR827)". Its record names the gene tcc-MIR827. Lineage: Eukaryota; Viridiplantae; Streptophyta; Magnoliopsida; Malvales; Malvaceae. The record is from miRBase by way of RNAcentral.